This 468-nucleotide ribosomal RNA is filed under the name uncultured bacterium. RNAcentral's name for it is "partial 16S ribosomal RNA". It matches the Rfam family "Bacterial small subunit ribosomal RNA", at positions 28 to 507 of the family's 1533-position model. The record is from RNAcentral.
GACGAACGCUGGCGGCGGGCUUAACACAUGCAAGUCGAACGGAAAGGCCCUGCUUUCGUGGUGUGCUCGAGUGGCGAACGGGUGAGUAACACGUGAGUAACCUGCCCUUGACUUUGGGAUAACUUCAGGAAACUGGGGCUAAUACCGGAUAGGAGCUCCUGCUGCAUGGUGGGGGUUGGAAAGUUUCGGCGGUCGGGGAUGGAUUCGCGGCUUAUCAGCUUGUUGGUGGGGUAGUGGCUUACCAAGGCAUUGGCGGGUAGCCGGCCUGUGAGGGUGACCGGCCACCAUGGGACUGAGAUACGGACCAGACUCCUACGGGGGGCAGCAGUGGGGAAUAUUGCACAGUGGGCGGAAGCCUGAUGCAGCAACGCCGCGUGCGGAAUGACGGCCUUCGGGUUGUAAACCGCUUUAGCCUGUGACGAAGCGUGAGUGACGGUAAUGGGUAAAGAAGCACCGGCUAACUACGUG